Molecule: ribosomal RNA, 292 nt
Filed under: uncultured Acidobacteriota bacterium
Lineage: Bacteria; Pseudomonadati; Acidobacteriota
Description: uncultured Acidobacteria bacterium partial 16S ribosomal RNA
Source: RNAcentral
GGACUACUAGGGUAUCUAAUCCCGUUUGCUCCCCUAGCUUUCGCCGUUCAGCGUCAAUGUCGGUCCAGGAUGCCGCCUUCGCCACCGGUAUUCCUCCAGAUAUCUACGCAUUUCACCGCUACACCUGGAAUUCUGCAUCCCUCUCCCGAAUUCAAGCCAAUCAGUUCGCACGGCCGACCCGGGGUUGAGCCCCGGGCUUUCACCGCACGCUUACCAAGCCGCCUACGCGCCCUUUACGCCCAGUGAUUCCGGACAACGCUCGCACCCUCUGUAUUACCGCGGCGGCUGGCAC